AGAGGCGGCUUAGGCCUGCCCUGUGGAGCAUCCCUGCGGGGUACUCCGGCCAGCCUGAGUGACGCGAUCCAAAGAGCACUCUCAGGGAGGCAAUUGCCCUGGUGGAAUGCCUCGCCAGAGCAGCAUAUAGCAGGCCCCCGCUGAGGAUUAGCACAGUGGCUGAACACCGGGAAGGAACUGGUACUUGGCACUGGGAGUCCGGACAUCCGAAAUUCGGCAAAAAGAUUGGCCUUUCAUUUCAGCCUGGGCUUGAAAUAUCAAACACAUUUCUGUGCCUAGCAGAUACUACUUUGAAAACAAGAUGAAAGCCAUGGAAUCUCCGAGAAAAAUGUACAUCUUACAGACUUUCAGUGAGUUCUGGAACACCAGGAACCUAGAGUCCACACGAAUGAACAGCAGUUUCCUAACCUAAUGCGAGAGACUUAAGAUUUCUUCUGCGUCCCAUGAUCUUCUAAUAAUUGUCUUCUUAGCAAGACUAGACACAGCUCCAAGAAAUGUGCACUACCAUGAAUGUCUUCCAGCUAUCUUCUAUGACAGCAUUUCCCAGUGCAUUCUGUGGAAUAAUGGUACAGGGUGAUGUUCUAUGAAGAAAAAUAAAUAUGGAAAGUAAUAUAUUCCACAGUCCGUACAUUAGAUUGCCUACACAACAGCAAUAUGCUGUAGUUUAAUAGGAUUUGAAUGAAUAAAAUUAAUGCUCACAGCUAUUUUCUUCUGCCGGCAAAUAUUUUUCUGACCAUAAUCUUGCUAAACAGAAUUCAUCUGAACUUAUGUUGUUGCCAACAAAUAUACGAACAAUUAUACCUAAUCAAAAACAAAAACCAAACUGAUGUUCAAGAAAAUUAAUCAUUUGCUUUGAAUAAAUCAGCUAUUAAGAAAGCUUACAUAAUUGAGUCUGACAGUGCCAAAUCAUGUCUGAGAUGAAACACUGCAUGAUACAUAAUCAAACAGAUAUUUGCAAGAGCUGUGGGUUGGGGGAGAGUGCAAAUGUUUCCCAGCACUCCUGUAUGUCAUGGGAGCACACAAUAAAACACUUGAAGAACUGCAAUAAUAAAAGGUUUAAAGAGCUGCAAUAAUAGGUUUUGCACACUGUAGUGGCUACUGAUACUGAGAACAUUUUAGAAGUUCAUCUCUAUCAUCUAAACACUACACACCACCACAAUCUAUUUAUUACGUCUUAAUAGGAAUUCUAUGCUAAUAUUUUAUCCCUUUGCAUCUGCUCUGUUUUACUAUUUGGGUCAUAUCUCUUGUUAGAAACAAUGUUUGACCCAUCUAUUCUCAAUACAAAUAAAAAGCUUUUAACACAUAAACAAGGUCAAUUUGUUCUGUUUGAAAGAUGGAGUAAUGGAACUAACUGUAAGAUAUGCAGUGUAAAAUUUAUUCCCAUUUCACCUUUAUAUGAGUAGAAAUGAGAGGUACUCAACCAAAAUAUGCAUAACAAUUACGCUUUCUGUACUAGCCUUCAAAUAAAUACGUAUUUAUAC
This 1481-nucleotide long non-coding RNA is filed under the name Macaca mulatta (Rhesus monkey). RNAcentral describes it as "lncRNA (ENSMMUG00000061534.1)". Lineage: Eukaryota; Metazoa; Chordata; Mammalia; Primates; Cercopithecidae. The record is from RNAcentral.